Molecule: microRNA precursor, 88 nt
Filed under: Sorex araneus (European shrew)
Lineage: Eukaryota; Metazoa; Chordata; Mammalia; Eulipotyphla; Soricidae
Description: miRNA (ENSSARG00000016961.1)
Source: RNAcentral
GGCCGGAUGAUUCUGCUGCAGAGGGCCACACCCCCCGCAGGGCGCCCUCGGGGCAAGGAAGGCCUGCGGCUCUGGGUCUCCGGGGACC